This 433-nucleotide ribosomal RNA is filed under the name uncultured bacterium. Its description in RNAcentral is "partial 16S ribosomal RNA". It matches the Rfam family "Bacterial small subunit ribosomal RNA", at positions 29 to 507 of the family's 1533-position model. The record is from RNAcentral.
AACGAACGCUGGCGGCAUGCCUAACACAUGCAAGUCGAACGAGACCUUCGGGUCUAGUGGCGCACGGGUGCGUAACGCGUGGGAACCUGCCCUUAGGUUCGGAGUAACUCCCCGAAAGGGGUGCUAAUACCGGAUAAUGUCUUCGGACCAAAGAUUUAUCGCCUUUGGAUGGGCCCGCGUUGGAUUAGCUAGUUGGUAGGGUAAAAGCCUACCAAGGCGACGAUCCAUAGCUGGUCUGAGAGGAUGAUCAGCCACACUGGGACUGAGACACGGCCCAGACUCCUACGGGAGGCAGCAGUGGGGAAUAUUGGACAAUGGGCGAAAGCAUGAUCCAGCAAUGCCGCGUGAGUGAUGAAGGCCUUAGGGUUGUAAAGCUCUUUUAACCGGAAUGAUAAUGACAGUACCGGGAGAAUAAGCUCCGGCUAACUCCGUG